This 887-nucleotide ribosomal RNA is filed under the name Pochonia chlamydosporia. RNAcentral's name for it is "LSU rRNA". It matches the Rfam family "Eukaryotic large subunit ribosomal RNA", at positions 41 to 958 of the family's 3401-position model. The record is from RNAcentral. Lineage: Eukaryota; Fungi; Ascomycota; Sordariomycetes; Hypocreales; Clavicipitaceae.
UAUCAAUAAGCGGAGGAAAAGAAACCAACAGGGAUUGCCCCAGUAACGGCGAGUGAAGCGGCAACAGCUCAAAUUUGAAAUCUGGCCCCUAGGGCCCGAGUUGUAAUUUGCAGAGGAUGCUUUUGGCGAGGUGCCUUCCGAGUUCCCUGGAACGGGACGCCAUAGAGGGUGAGAGCCCCGUCUGGUUGGAUGCCGAGCCUCUGUAAAGCUCCUUCGACGAGUCGAGUAGUUUGGGAAUGCUGCUCUAAAUGGGAGGUAUAUGUCUUCUAAAGCUAAAUACCGGCCAGAGACCGAUAGCGCACAAGUAGAGUGAUCGAAAGAUGAAAAGCACUUUGAAAAGAGGGUUAAAUAGUACGUGAAAUUGUUGAAAGGGAAGCACUUAUGACCAGACUUGGACCCGGUGAAUCAUCCAGCGUUCUCGCUGGUGCACUUUGCCGGGCUCAGGCCAGCAUCAGUUUGCCUCCGGGGAUAAAGGCUUUGGGAAUGUGGCUCCCUCGGGAGUGUUAUAGCCCAUUGCACAAUACCCUGGGGCGGACUGAGGUUCGCGCAUCUGCAAGGAUGCUGGCGUAAUGGUCAUCAGUGACCCGUCUUGAAACACGGACCAAGGAGUCGUCUUCGUAUGCGAGUGUUCGGGUGUAAAACCCCUACGCGUAAUGAAAGUGAACGCAGGUGAGAGCUUCGGCGCAUCAUCGACCGAUCCUGAUGUUCUCGGAUGGAUUUGAGUAAGAGCAUACGGGGCCGGACCCGAAAGAAGGUGAACUAUGCCUGUAUAGGGUGAAGCCAGAGGAAACUCUGGUGGAGGCUCGCAGCGGUUCUGACGUGCAAAUCGAUCGUCAAAUAUGGGCAUGGGGGCGAAAGACUAAUCGAACCUUCUAGUAGCUGGUUUC